Molecule: non-coding RNA, 112 nt
Filed under: chicken gut metagenome
Description: FMN riboswitch (RFN element)
Rfam family: FMN riboswitch aptamer (RFN element)
About the family: The RFN element is a highly conserved domain that is found frequently in the 5'-untranslated regions of prokaryotic mRNAs that encode for flavin mononucleotide (FMN) biosynthesis and transport proteins.
Source: RNAcentral
AUCUUCGGGGCAGGGUGAAAUUCCCUACCGGUGGUGAUAGCCCACGAGCUAGUUUUUAGCAUGAUUUGGUGAAAUUCCAAAGCCGACAGUAAAGUCUGGAUGAGAGAAGAUA